AGCGGCGGACGGGUGAGUAACGCGUGGGUAACCUGCCCUAUACACACGGAUAACAUACCGAAAGGUAUGCUAAUACGGGAUAAUAUAAGAGAUUCGCAUGGAUUUCUUAUCAAAGCUGAGGCGGUAUAGGAUGGACCCGCGUCUGAUUAGCUAGUUGGUAAGGUAACGGCUUACCAAGGCGACGAUCAGUAGCCGACCUGAGAGGGUGAUCGGCCACAUUGGAACUGAGACACGGUCCAAACUCCUACGGGAGGCAGCAGUGGGGAAUAUUGCACAAUGGGCGAAAGCCUGAUGCAGCAACGCCGCGUGAGUGAUGAAGGCCUUCGGGUCGUAAAACUCUGUCCUCAAGGAAGAUAAUGACGGUACUUGAGGAGGAAGCCCCGGCUAACUACGUGCCGGCAGCCGCGGUAAUACGUAGGGGGCUAGCGUUAUCCGAAUUUACUGGGCGUAGAGGGUGCGUAGGUGGUCUCUUAAGUCAGGAGUGAAAGGCUACGGCUUAACCGUAGUAAGCUCUUGAAACUGGGAGACUUGAGUGCAGGAGAGGAAAGUGGAAUUCCUAGUGUAGCGGUGAAAUGCGUAGAUAUUAGGAGGAACACCAGUAGCGAAGGCGGCUUUCUGGACUGUAACUGACACUGAGGCACGAAAGCGUGGGGAGCAAACAGGAUUAGAUACCCUGGUAGUCCACGCCGUAAACGAUGAGUACUAGGUGU
RNAcentral lists this ribosomal RNA (710 nucleotides) under uncultured bacterium. Its description in RNAcentral is "bacterial SSU rRNA". It matches the Rfam family "Bacterial small subunit ribosomal RNA", at positions 94 to 823 of the family's 1533-position model. The record is from RNAcentral.